GUGGGGUAAUGGCCUACCAAGGCGACGACGGGUAGCCGGCCUGAGAGGGCGACCGGCCACACUGGGACUGAGACACGGCCCAGACUCCUACGGGAGGCAGCAGUGGGGAAUAUUGCACAAUGGGCGGAAGCCUGAUGCAGCGACGCCGCGUGAGGGAUGACGGCCUUCGGGUUGUAAACCUCUUUCAGCAGGGACGAAGCGCAAGUGACGGUACCUGCAGAAGAAGCGCCGGCCAACUACGUGCCAGCAGCCGCGGUAAGACGUAGGGCGCGAGCGUUGUCCGGAUUUAUUGGGCGUAAAGAGCUCGUAGGCGGCUUGUCGCGUCGACUGUGAAAACCCGUGGCUCAACUGCGGGCCUGCAGUCGAUACGGGCAGGCUAGAGUUCGGUAGGGGAGACUGGAAUUCCUGGUGUAGCGGUGAAAUGCGCAGAUAUCAGGAGGAACACCGGUGGCGAAGGCGGGUCUCUGGGCCGAUACUGACGCUGAGGAGCGAAAGCGUGGGGAGCGAACAGGAUUAGAUACCCUGGUAGUCCACGCUGUAAACGUUGGGCGCUAGGUGUGGGGGGCCUCUCCGGUUCUCUGUGCCGCAGCUAACGCAUUAAGCGCCCCGCCUGGGGAGUACGG
Molecule: ribosomal RNA, 623 nt
Filed under: Verrucosispora sp. MP39-B4
Lineage: Bacteria; Bacillati; Actinomycetota; Actinomycetes; Micromonosporales; Micromonosporaceae
Description: bacterial SSU rRNA
Rfam family: Bacterial small subunit ribosomal RNA
Source: RNAcentral